RNAcentral lists this ribosomal RNA (465 nucleotides) under uncultured bacterium. Its description in RNAcentral is "bacterial SSU rRNA". It matches the Rfam family "Bacterial small subunit ribosomal RNA", at positions 338 to 795 of the family's 1533-position model. The record is from RNAcentral.
CCUACGGGUUGCAGCAGUGGGGAAUAUUGCACAAUGGGCGCAAGCCUGAUGCAGCCAUGCCGCGUGUAUGAAGAAGGCCUUCGGGUUGUAAAGUACUUUCAGCGGGGAGGAAGGGAGUAAGGUUAAUAACCUUAUUCAUUGACGUUACCCGCAGAAGAAGCACCGGCUAACUCCGUGCCAGCAGCCGCGGUAAUACGGAGGGUGCAAGCGUUAAUCGGAAUUACUGGGCGUAAAGCGCACGCAGGCGGUCUGUCAAGUCGGAUGUGAAAUCCCCGGGCUCAACCUGGGAACUGCAUUCGAAACUGGCAGGCUGGAGUCUUGUAGAGGGGGGUAGAAUUCCAGGUGUAGCGGUGAAAUGCGUAGAGAUCUGGAGGAAUACCGGUGGCGAAGGCGGCCCCCUGGACAAAGACUGACGCUCAGGUGCGAAAGCGUGGGGAGCAAACAGGAUUAGAUACCCGUGUAGUC